UACGUAGGGUGCGAGCGUUAAUCGGAAUUACUGGGCGUAAAGGGUGCGCAGGCGGUUCUGCAAGUCAGGCGUGAAAGCCCCGGGCUUAACCUGGGAAUGGCGCUUGAAACUACGGGACUGGAGUAUGGCAGAGGGAGGUGGAAUUCCACGUGUAGCGGUGAAAUGCGUAGAGAUGUGGAGGAACACCGAUGGCGAAGGCAGCCUCCUGGGCCAAUACUGACGCUCAUGCACGAAAGCGUGGGAAGCAAACAGG
RNAcentral lists this ribosomal RNA (253 nucleotides) under uncultured bacterium. Its description in RNAcentral is "partial 16S ribosomal RNA". It matches the Rfam family "Bacterial small subunit ribosomal RNA", at positions 524 to 776 of the family's 1533-position model. The record is from RNAcentral.